RNA transcript from Nicotiana attenuata, 1413 nucleotides. RefSeq lists it as uncharacterized. NCBI's taxonomy places the organism in Eukaryota, Viridiplantae, Streptophyta, Magnoliopsida, Solanales, Solanaceae. The record is from RefSeq and is a predicted model, not a curated record. The transcript has 2 exons.
CUUCCUUGGAAAUUGAAAAAAAGAUGGAAUUUGGUUUCCGUCUAAAAUUCCAAAUGUGAUGUAGUUAAAUGAGGUCUUAGAAGAAGAAUUCCAAAAGCAAUAACAUCCAAACAUACCAUGGAACCACCGCUGAUCAAACCACCGCUCCCACCAGAACCCCCAGAUAAACAAGUCCAAAUGGAGGUGAAAAUACCACAACACUUCUACAAGGAGAUGUUCCUAAACAAACAAGUUUGUAACCAAUCUAAUUACUACGAAAUGGAAAAUCAACGAUCACUAGAGUUGGCUAAAGGGAAGCACAUUGAAGGCUCCAUCCCCCUCUCACCAGAAGAGAAGGAACGCCUCUAUGCACCUUGGAGGUACUCAGUAAUUAUCAAACUAUUCAAGAGAAAGAUGCCUCACCACAUGCUUCAAUCUAAACUAAUUGACCUAUGGAAGCCAUCUGAACAGUUAAUCUUUAUUGACCUAGGAUGGGACUUCUUCAUAGUAAAAUUUAGCUUAGAGGAAAGUAUGGUUAAGGCACUGUAUCUUGGGCCAUGGUUUGUUUCUGGACACUUCCUAUCCGUUCGGAAGUGGGAACCAAAAUUUGUAACGCAGGAAGCCACCCUUACUUCUACUGCCAUUUGGAUAAGAUUACCCCAGCUGCCAACAGAGUUCUAUGAUAAAAUCAUCUUGGAAAAAGUUGGAAGAAAAUUAGGAAAACUCCUAAAGAUUGAUCAAUGCACAUCCUCUACCCUAAGGGGGAGAUAUGCACGCAUUUGUAUUCAGGUGCCAUUAGAAACACCAGUGGAAACUUCAAUAAUCAUAGGAGACCAUAAACAAUCAGUGAUCUACGAAGGCGAAGGAACCCUAUGUACUAGCUGCGGCAGGAUAGGUCACACUACUAUAAGGUGCAAUUAUAAACCCCACUCCUCCUCAACUGCCAAUGAUACUCAAGAAGAAGCUCACCAAGUGGAACCAACCCCAGAGGCAAGUGAAUGGAAGACUCUCACCUUCCUACGACGACGAAAGCAGGGACAGCCAAAGGCACCUACCCCCAUGGAAGGUAAUGUACCAAAAUCAUAACAUACUCCGCAUGCAGAAGAGGCACAGGUAAACAUGUUUGGCGCCAUUUCAGAUUGCUGAUUCAAAGGAUGGGCAGCGUGGUAGUGAGGCACACAUACAGGGAGCAAAACAGGGUAGCUGAUGUGCUGGCGAAAGAAGCAGCUAAGGAAGUUUUUUUAAACAAAUCACUCUCUCUAGCAGUUCCUCCGGUGUUUGCCAAUGAUGUAUUUUGGGCAGACACCCUAGGAACUGAACUACCUAGAUCUUUUGUGGGUUGUAAUAUUAGUACAAUUAUGCAAAACUUUGCAACUAUGGGGGCCAUAAGGUACCCCAAUAACUCCCAAUGCAGUGUAACCCCCUAUUUAAUUA